RNAcentral lists this ribosomal RNA (229 nucleotides) under uncultured bacterium. RNAcentral describes it as "partial 16S ribosomal RNA". It matches the Rfam family "Bacterial small subunit ribosomal RNA", at positions 568 to 796 of the family's 1533-position model. The record is from RNAcentral.
UGCGUAGGCGGAAUGAUAAGUUAGUGGUGAAAGCCCCCGGCUCAACCGGGGAACUGCCAUUAAUACUGUCAUUCUUGAGUAUAGUUGAAGUGGGCGGAAUGUAUCAUGUAGCGGUGAAAUGCUUAGAUAUGAUACAGGACACCGAUAGCGUAGGCAGCUUGCUAAACUAUAACUGACGCUCAGGCACGAAAGCGUGGGGAGCAAACAGGAUUAGAUACCCUGGUAGUCC